AUUGAACGCUGGCGGCAGGCUUAACACAUGCAAGUCGAGCGGGGGAAGGUAGCUUGCUACCGGACCUAGCGGCGGACGGGUGAGUAAUGCUUAGGAAUCUGCCUAUUAGUGGGGGACAACAUCUCGAAAGGGAUGCUAAUACCGCAUACGUCCUACGGGAGAAAGCAGGGGAUCUUCGGACCUUGCGCUAAUAGAUGAGCCGAAGUCGGAUUAGCUAGUUGGUGGGGUAAAGGCCUACCAAGGCGACGAUCUGUAGCGGGUCUGAGAGGAUGAUCCGCCACACUGGGACUGAGACACGGCCCAGACUCCUACGGGAGGCAGCAGUGGGGAAUAUUGGACAAUGGGGGGAACCCUGAUCCAGCCAUGCCGCGUGUGUGAAGAAGGCCUUAUGGUUGUAAAGCACUUUAAGCGAGGAGGAGGCUACUCUAGUUAAUACCCAGGGAUAGUGGACGUUACUCGCAGAAUAAGCACCGGCUAACUCUGUGCCAGCAGCCGCCGUAA
This 501-nucleotide ribosomal RNA is filed under the name uncultured bacterium. RNAcentral describes it as "partial 16S ribosomal RNA". It matches the Rfam family "Bacterial small subunit ribosomal RNA", at positions 30 to 523 of the family's 1533-position model. The record is from RNAcentral.